CUAGAAGACAGGAAUUGGAGAGCGUGGCCCCAGCUCCUUACCCUCCUGUGCGAAGUGGCGUCCAGACGUGUGAUGGUAAAGACAACCUUUUUCAAAUCCCCUUGGCCAUGUGACUACAUUCUGGCUAAUGAGAUGGCAGCAGAAGCGGGAUGUGGGACUUCUAGAAGUCUCCUUCCUAGGAGGGAAAGAGGGAAAAAACACAUCUUUCAUUUUGAAAAAGAUGUUCUUAUUCAAGUGAUAUCUCCAGGGCUAUUCACUAAGCAUGAUGAAUUGUAUAACCAGGAAGGAAGAAAGAAAUGCUGUGGUGGUUGCUGCUGAUCUCAGGCCAGCUAGGGUUACUUUUUAGCUGAGCCUCAAGGAGGCAUUGCGCAACCAGACUUUCUUAUGUGCCGCUUCUUUAAAGGUGAAAAGUCAAGUCACACUCUUCUGUGAUCUCUGUUUUCUUUGUAAAAGUUUGUAUAAAUCUUAUAAUGCAUAUAGGCACGCUUUCUCUUCUCUGACUGUUUUUCUGGCCAGUUUGAAUUCGUGAUUAAGAUAUGCCCAGAGUAGCUUCCCCCGCCCCCCAGGUUGUCACAAAAGGAGUCAUUCUGUGAGUAGUAGAAAACUUAUAUACCAGCAAUUCACUCCUAAGACUGUAAAGCUGGCCUGAAUUGAGGAUAAUUGAUGCCAUCCCAGAGCCAUUGUGGGGUUGUCCUCUAAAUUAAAAGCAGAAUGAGGUACAAAGGAACUGCUUAAUUUAUAUUUGUGCCUAAGACUUAUAAGAGACAGAAAGAGUGAGAAGCCUUCAUAGUGACUGAAUUACAGUAUUGGGUUGUACUUUGAUUGUGGAAUGCCAAAUUCAUGCACAACUGUGGUCCAAAUUUACAUAGCUAAUAAGUUUUACUGGUCUGAGUGAUCAGCUGUGAAUGAGUUUGUCCAGAAAAGUUUAAAAUACUAACUCGUUGGUCCCUCACAGAAAUGGUUUGCGGACCCCUGGUCUAGAAAAUAUGCAGGCAGCUCUGAGAAAAGAGGUCAAGAAGACCGAGAGCCUGAAAUGUUUCAGCACUGCCACAGACCUUUGCCCAUUCACUGUUUCAUUUAGUCCCAACAAGUGAGCAGGA
This is a long non-coding RNA of Panthera uncia (snow leopard), 1100 nucleotides long. RefSeq lists it as uncharacterized. The record is from RefSeq and is a predicted model, not a curated record. The transcript has 3 exons. NCBI's taxonomy places the organism in Eukaryota, Metazoa, Chordata, Mammalia, Carnivora, Felidae.